AUUGAACGCUGGCGGCAUGCCUUACACAUGCAAGUCGAACGGUAACAGGUCUUCGGAUGCUGACGAGUGGCGAACGGGUGAGUAAUACAUCGGAACGUGCCCGAUCGUGGGGGAUAACGAGGCGAAAGCUUUGCUAAUACCGCAUACGAUCUACGGAUGAAAGCGGGGGAUCUUCGGACCUCGCGCGGACGGAGCGGCCGAUGGCAGAUUGGGUAGUUGGUGGGAUAAAAGCUUACCAAGCCGACGAUCUGUAGCUGGUCUGAGAGGAUGAUCAGCCACACUGGGACUGAGACACGGCCCAGACUCCUACGGGAGGCAGCAGUGGGGAAUUUUGGACAAUGGGCGAAAGCCUGAUCCAGCCAUGCCGCGUGCAGGAUGAAGGCCUUCGGGUUGUAAACUGCUUUUGUACGGAACGAAAAGCCUCUUUCUAAUAAAGAGGGGUCAUGACGGUACCGUAAGAAUAAGCACCGGCUAACUACGUG
RNAcentral lists this ribosomal RNA (482 nucleotides) under uncultured bacterium. RNAcentral's name for it is "partial 16S ribosomal RNA". It matches the Rfam family "Bacterial small subunit ribosomal RNA", at positions 30 to 507 of the family's 1533-position model. The record is from RNAcentral.